Molecule: ribosomal RNA, 440 nt
Filed under: uncultured bacterium
Lineage: Bacteria
Description: partial 16S ribosomal RNA
Rfam family: Bacterial small subunit ribosomal RNA
Source: RNAcentral
CCUACGGGAGGCAGCAGUGGGGAAUAUUGCACAAUGGGGGAAACCCUGAUGCAGCAACGCCGCGUGGGUGAUGAAGUUUUUCGGUUUGUAAAGCUCUAUUAUCAGAGAAGAUAAUGACGGUACCUAACGAAUAAGCACCGGCUAACUCCGUGCCAGCAGCCGCGGUAAUACGGAGGGUGCAAGCGUUAUCCGGAUUCACUGGGCGUAAAGAGCGCGUAGGCGGGAUAGCAAGUCAGAUGUGAAAUCCUAUGGCUUAACCAUAGAACUGCUUUUGAAACUGUUCUUCUGGAGUGUGGGAGAGGUAGGUGGAAUUCUUGGUGUAGGGGUGAAAUCCGUAGAUAUCAGGAGGAAUACUAGUGGCGAAGGCGGCUUACUAGAACGUAACUGACGCUGAGGCGCGAAAGCGUGGGGAGCAAACAGGAUUAGAUACCCGGGUAGUC